This 70-nucleotide transfer RNA is filed under the name Sternotherus carinatus (Razorback musk turtle). Its description in RNAcentral is "tRNA-Glu". It matches the Rfam family "tRNA". From Rfam's summary of the family: Transfer RNA (tRNA) molecules are approximately 80 nucleotides in length. Their secondary structure includes four short double-helical elements and three loops (D, anti-codon, and T loops). Lineage: Eukaryota; Metazoa; Chordata; Testudines; Kinosternidae. The record is from RNAcentral.
GUUCUUGUAGUUGAGUAUACAACGGUGGUUUUUCGAGCCGUUAGUCUUGGUUAGAGUCCAUGCGGGAAUU